CCUACGGGAGGCAGCAGUGAGGAAUAUUGGUCAAUGGCCGUAAGGCUGAACCAGCCAAGUCGCGUGAAGGAAGAAUGAUCUAUGGUUUGUAAACUUCUUUUAUAGGGGAAUAAAGGUAUCCACGUGUGGAUAUUUGCAUGUACCCUAUGAAUAAGCAUCGGCUAAUUCCGUGCCAGCAGCCGCGGUAAUCCGGAGGAUGCGAGCGUUAUCCGGAUUUAUUGGGUUUAAAGGGUGCGUAGGUUGUUUUUUAAGUCAGCGGUGAAAGUUUGUGGCUCAACCAUAAAAUUGCCGUGGAAACUGGAAGACGUGAGUGUGUUUGAGGUAGGCGGAAUGCGUGGUGUAGCGGUGAAAUGCAUAGAUAUCACGCAGAACUCCGAUUGCGAAGGCAGCUUACUAAGCCAUAACUGACACUGAAGCACGAAAGCGUGGGGAUCAAACAGGAUUAGAUACCCUUGUAGUC
Molecule: ribosomal RNA, 460 nt
Filed under: uncultured bacterium
Lineage: Bacteria
Description: partial 16S ribosomal RNA
Rfam family: Bacterial small subunit ribosomal RNA
Source: RNAcentral